This is a long non-coding RNA of Syngnathus acus (greater pipefish), 408 nucleotides long. RefSeq lists it as uncharacterized. The transcript is spliced from 3 exons. The record is from RefSeq and is a predicted model, not a curated record. NCBI's taxonomy places the organism in Eukaryota, Metazoa, Chordata, Actinopteri, Syngnathiformes, Syngnathidae.
UCUAUUCACCUUCCGCAGCGUCCUGGUUAUUCUCGUUGAAGUUCUCAUAAGAGUCCCAGCGAAUGGGCGGAUCUUGCGUGUUGUAGUCCACCGAGACGCUGGGCCCGUUCUCCAGAUGCUGCAGAUCUUCUCCAGAGCCGGCGCGUGAUGGUCGGGCCAGCCAAAGUCCAACACCUGCCCAGAGAGGAGCAGCCGGCGCGGGUUAGGCCACGGAGGACGACCGACGGCCGCUUUCGCUCGCCUUUACCUUGGAAUGAAGCUCGCCGAUGUCAUAACGCUUCUCGCUGAGGUUGAAGAGCUAAGGAGGGGCGAAGGUGCUCGGACAUUUACGGUGGAAAUGAUUUAGCCCGUCCCGUCAAAAGCAUCUGCAAGGGCCACGCGAGAGCAGCCAGCCUGCCCCGCCUGCCA